CAGUGAUCCUGGCCACUUUCACAUAUAUGUGUGACCCGCUGGGGGGAACAGUGACAAGGAGAGCUGAGUCAGAGAAGGCAAAACUACAAAGAGGAGCAUCCAAUCAAACAACGCAUCCCCAGAUGACUCAUGUACGCAGCAUGCCCUCAGGCCUGCAUCCAACAGAGGCAGAUCCCAGGCCCAUGGGACACCAGGUUUUCCUUGGUGAGGAAGUCAGGCACUGCAGCCUCCAAGCCUCAGGCUCCUCACCUGUUAAAAAGGGAUCAAUCUGCCUGCCCCCAGGAUUUAAGGCAGGCAUGCAUAGUGUCUGGCAGUAGUAGGUGCUCAAGAAAGGUUGUUUAUUUCUCCAUAAGCAGCUUUUAGCGUCACAGCCUACAGCCAGUCAGAUUCUUGCUGUUCUUUUCAAAGGAAGAUUGGCUUUGCCAAAGCUGGGCCUGCCCAAGUGCAUCCGCAGUCACUGGUCUCUGAUGCUGUCCACCUCGGCUUGGAAUAUCUG
Molecule: long non-coding RNA, 496 nt
Organism: Rhinopithecus bieti (black snub-nosed monkey)
Lineage: Eukaryota; Metazoa; Chordata; Mammalia; Primates; Cercopithecidae
Source: Ensembl